Molecule: ribosomal RNA, 497 nt
Filed under: uncultured bacterium
Lineage: Bacteria
Description: partial 16S ribosomal RNA
Rfam family: Bacterial small subunit ribosomal RNA
Source: RNAcentral
GAUGAACGCUGGCGGCGUGCCUAAUACAUGCAAGUCGAGCGAACGGACGAGAAGCUUGCUUCUCUGAUGUUAGCGGCGGACGGGUGAGUAACACGUGGAUAACCUACCUAUAAGACUGGGAUAACUUCGGGAAACCGGAGCUAAUACCGGAUAAUAUUUUGAACCGCAUGGUUCAAAAGUGAAAGAUGGUCCUGCUGUCACUUAUAGAUGGAUCCGCGCUGCAUUAGCUAGUUGGUAAGGUAACGGCUUACCAAGGCAACGAUGCAUAGCCGACCUGAGAGGGUGAUCGGCCACACUGGAACUGAGACACGGUCCAGACUCCUACGGGAGGCAGCAGUAGGGAAUCUUCCGCAAUGGGCGAAAGCCUGACGGAGCAACGCCGCGUGAGUGAUGAAGGUCUUCCGAUCGUAAAACUCUGUUAUUAGGGAAGAACAUAUGUGUAAGUAACUGUGCACAUCUUGACGGUACCUAAUCAGAAAGCCACGGCUAACUACGUG